UCGGGAAUAUUACGCAAUGGAGGAAACUCUGACGCAGUGACGCCGCGUAUAGGAUGAAGGUUUUCGGAUUGUAAACUAUUGUCAUUAGGGAAGAUAAAAGACAGUACCUAAGGAGGAAGCUCCGGCUAACUACGUGCCAGCAGCCGCGGUAAUACGUAGGGAGCAAGCGUUAUCCGGAUUUAUUGGGUGUAAAGGGUGCGUAGACGGGAAAUUAAGUUAGUUGUGAAAGCCCUCGGCUUAACUGAGGAAUUGCAACUAAAACUGGUUUUCUUGAGUGCAGGAGAGGUAAGUGGAAUUCCUAGUGUAGCGGUGAAAUGCGUAGAUAUUAGGAGGAACACCAGUGGCGAAGGCGACUUACUGGACUGUAACUGACGUUGAGGCACGAAAGUGUGGGGAGCAAACA
RNAcentral lists this ribosomal RNA (403 nucleotides) under uncultured prokaryote. RNAcentral describes it as "bacterial SSU rRNA". It matches the Rfam family "Bacterial small subunit ribosomal RNA", at positions 355 to 774 of the family's 1533-position model. The record is from RNAcentral.